Molecule: ribosomal RNA, 937 nt
Filed under: Psilocybe subcubensis
Lineage: Eukaryota; Fungi; Basidiomycota; Agaricomycetes; Agaricales; Agrocybaceae
Description: LSU rRNA
Rfam family: Eukaryotic large subunit ribosomal RNA
Source: RNAcentral
GCAUAUCAAUAAGCGGAGGAAAAGAAACUAACAAGGAUUCCCCUAGUAACUGCGAGUGAAGCGGGAAAAGCUCAAAUUUAAAAUCUGGCGGUCUUUGGCCGUCCGAGUUGUAAUCUAGAGAAGUGCUAUCCGCGCUGGACCGUGUACAAGUCUCCUGGAAUGGAGCGUCAUAGAGGGUGAGAAUCCCGUCUUUGACACGGACUACCAGGGCUUUGUGAUGUGCUCUCAAAGAGUCGAGUUGUUUGGGAAUGCAGCUCAAAAUGGGUGGUAAAUUCCAUCUAAAGCUAAAUAUUGGCGAGAGACCGAUAGCGAACAAGUACCGUGAGGGAAAGAUGAAAAGAACUUUGGAAAGAGAGUUAAACAGUACGUGAAAUUGCUGAAAGGGAAACGCUUGAAGUCAGUCGCGUUGGCCAGGGAUCAACCUUGCUUUUGCUGGGUGUACUUUCUGGUUGACGGGUCAGCAUCAAUUUUGAUCGUUGGAUAAAGUCUGUGGGAAUGUGGCUUCUUCGGAAGUGUUAUAGCCCAUGGUCGCAUACAACGGUUGGGAUUGAGGAACUCAGCACGCCGCAAGGCCGGGUACUUGUACCACGUUCGUGCUUAGGAUGCUGGCAUAAUGGCUUUAAUCGACCCGUCUUGAAACACGGACCAAGGAGUCUAACAUGCCUGCGAGUGUUUGGGUGGAAAACCCGAGCGCGUAAUGAAAGUGAAAGUUGAGAUCCCUGUCGUGGGGAGCAUCGACGCCCGGACCAGACCUUUUGUGACGGAUCCGCGGUAGAGCAUGUAUGUUGGGACCCGAAAGAUGGUGAACUAUGCCUGAAUAGGGUGAAGCCAGAGGAAACUCUGGUGGAGGCUCGUAGCGAUUCUGACGUGCAAAUCGAUCGUCAAAUUUGGGUAUAGGGGCGAAAGACUAAUCGAACCAUCUAGUAGCUGGUCCUGC